This 1264-nucleotide ribosomal RNA is filed under the name Microbacterium oxydans. RNAcentral's name for it is "bacterial SSU rRNA". It matches the Rfam family "Bacterial small subunit ribosomal RNA", at positions 117 to 1393 of the family's 1533-position model. The record is from RNAcentral. Lineage: Bacteria; Bacillati; Actinomycetota; Actinomycetes; Micrococcales; Microbacteriaceae.
GUGAGCAACCUGCCCCUGACUCUGGGAUAAGCGCUGGAAACGGCGUCUAAUACUGGAUAUGUGACGUGACCGCAUGGUCUGCGUCUGGAAAGAAUUUCGGUUGGGGAUGGGCUCGCGGCCUAUCAGCUUGUUGGUGAGGUAAUGGCUCACCAAGGCGUCGACGGGUAGCCGGCCUGAGAGGGUGACCGGCCACACUGGGACUGAGACACGGCCCAGACUCCUACGGGAGGCAGCAGUGGGGAAUAUUGCACAAUGGGCGCAAGCCUGAUGCAGCAACGCCGCGUGAGGGACGACGGCCUUCGGGUUGUAAACCUCUUUUAGCAGGGAAGAAGCGAAAGUGACGGUACCUGCAGAAAAAGCGCCGGCUAACUACGUGCCAGCAGCCGCGGUAAUACGUAGGGCGCAAGCGUUAUCCGGAAUUAUUGGGCGUAAAGAGCUCGUAGGCGGUUUGUCGCGUCUGCUGUGAAAUCCGGAGGCUCAACCUCCGGCCUGCAGUGGGUACGGGCAGACUAGAGUGCGGUAGGGGAGAUUGGAAUUCCUGGUGUAGCGGUGGAAUGCGCAGAUAUCAGGAGGAACACCGAUGGCGAAGGCAGAUCUCUGGGCCGUAACUGACGCUGAGGAGCGAAAGGGUGGGGAGCAAACAGGCUUAGAUACCCUGGUAGUCCACCCCGUAAACGUUGGGAACUAGUUGUGGGGUCCAUUCCACGGAUUCCGUGACGCAGCUAACGCAUUAAGUUCCCCGCCUGGGGAGUACGGCCGCAAGGCUAAAACUCAAAGGAAUUGACGGGGACCCGCACAAGCGGCGGAGCAUGCGGAUUAAUUCGAUGCAACGCGAAGAACCUUACCAAGGCUUGACAUAUACGAGAACGGGCCAGAAAUGGUCAACUCUUUGGACACUCGUAAACAGGUGGUGCAUGGUUGUCGUCAGCUCGUGUCGUGAGAUGUUGGGUUAAGUCCCGCAACGAGCGCAACCCUCGUUCUAUGUUGCCAGCACGUAAUGGUGGGAACUCAUGGGAUACUGCCGGGGUCAACUCGGAGGAAGGUGGGGAUGACGUCAAAUCAUCAUGCCCCUUAUGUCUUGGGCUUCACGCAUGCUACAAUGGCCGGUACAAAGGGCUGCAAUACCGCGAGGUGGAGCGAAUCCCAAAAAGCCGGUCCCAGUUCGGAUUGAGGUCUGCAACUCGACCUCAUGAAGUCGGAGUCGCUAGUAAUCGCAGAUCAGCAACGCUGCGGUGAAUACGUUCCCGGGUCUUGUACACACCGC